Molecule: ribosomal RNA, 762 nt
Filed under: uncultured Streptococcus sp.
Lineage: Bacteria; Bacillati; Bacillota; Bacilli; Lactobacillales; Streptococcaceae
Description: bacterial SSU rRNA
Rfam family: Bacterial small subunit ribosomal RNA
Source: RNAcentral
GACGAACGCGGCGGCGUGCUAAUACAUGCAAGUAGAACGCUGAAGAGAGGAGCUUGCUCUUCUGGAUGAGUUGCGAACGGGUGAGUAACGCGUAGGUAACCUGCCUUGUAGCGGGGGAUAACUAUUGGAAACGAUAGCUAAUACCGCAUAACAAUGGAUGACACAUGUCAUUUAUUUGAAAGGGGCAAUUGCUCCACUACAAGAUGGACCUGCGUUGUAUUAGCUAGUAGGUGAGGUAACGGCUCACCUAGGCGACGAUACAUAGCCGACCUGAGAGGGUGAUCGGCCACACUGGGACUGAGACACGGCCCAGACUCCUACGGGAGGCAGCAGUAGGGAAUCUUCGGCAAUGGGGGCAACCCUGACCGAGCAACGCCGCGUGAGUGAAGAAGGUUUUCGGAUCGUAAAGCUCUGUUGUAAGUCAAGAACGAGUGUGAGAGUGGAAAGUUCACACUGUGACGGUAGCUUACCAGAAAGGGACGGCUAACUACGUGCCAGCAGCCGCGGUAAUACGUAGGUCCCGAGCGUUGUCCGGAUUUAUUGGGCGUAAAGCGAGCGCAGGCGGUUUGAUAAGUCUGAAGUUAAAGGCUGUGGCUCAACCAUAGUUCGCUUUGGAAACUGUCAAACUUGAGUGCAGAAGGGGAGAGUGGAAUUCCAUGUGUAGCGGUGAAAUGCGUAGAUAUAUGGAGGAACACCGGUGGCGAAAGCGGCUCUCUGGUCUGUAACUGACGCUGAGGCUCGAAAGCGUGGGGAGCGAACAGG